Molecule: small nuclear RNA, 22 nt
Filed under: Arabidopsis thaliana (thale cress)
Lineage: Eukaryota; Viridiplantae; Streptophyta; Magnoliopsida; Brassicales; Brassicaceae
Description: snRNA_03073
Source: RNAcentral
UUUUUGGUUCGGAUAUUGGAUU